GUGCUCGCUUCGGCAGCACAUAUACUAAAAUUGGAACGAUACAGAGAUUAGCGUGGCCCCUGCCCAAGGAUGACAUGGAAAUUCGUGAGGCGUUCCAUAAAAAA
Small nuclear RNA from Myotis daubentonii (Daubenton's bat), 104 nucleotides. The record is from RefSeq and is a predicted model, not a curated record. Lineage: Eukaryota; Metazoa; Chordata; Mammalia; Chiroptera; Vespertilionidae.